RNAcentral lists this ribosomal RNA (901 nucleotides) under Centrorhynchus aluconis. RNAcentral describes it as "large subunit ribosomal RNA". The stretch from base 602 to 901 matches the Rfam family "Bacterial large subunit ribosomal RNA", at positions 2049 to 2715 of the family's 2925-position model. Lineage: Eukaryota; Metazoa; Acanthocephala; Palaeacanthocephala; Polymorphida; Centrorhynchidae. The record is from RNAcentral.
AGUAUAGGGUCAGUUUAAGUUGGUGCAAUAAGUAGGAGGUUAAAAUGGGGCUAGUUACAGGAGGACUACCUUUUGUAUAAGGGGAUCAGGAUGAUAGGUCUUAGGUGUUAACCCCAAUUCACAGGAGAUUUAGUCACAAUUUUGGGGAAGAUUCCAGGAUUAGUGUUUAAAGUAGUGAGAUGUUGACGACUGUGAUAUAGGUGGAGGUACGAGUCAGGUAAGCUGACGGGUUGUUCUUGGUGUUCGGAGUUGAUGAAAAAUAGUUGUAAUAUCAUUUUGUUACAAAUAUUUGAGCGGGUAAAGAAUUUCGAGCAUUGAGAUGAGGAAAUUGCGUGAAUUUUCUUAUGGAAACCAUCUGGUUAUUAGUAAGUGGGGCUUAUUAGUGGACAAGUUAGGAGUUGUUUUGUGGACUCGAUCUCCAAGCAAAUGUUUAGUAAAAACAUUUCUCAUUAAAUGGUGAGUAGCCCCUGCCCAAUGAGAUUUUAAUGGCCGCAGUAAGUUGACUGUGCUAAGGUAGCAUAAUAAAUAGGUUGUUGAAUGUGAUCUGGUAUGAAUGGGGGGAUGACUUGGAAGUGGUGCUGAACAACAUGUGAAGUUGUGAGCAAGUGAAAAUACUUGUGGAGUAAAAAGACGGAAAGACCCCGGAAGCUUGACAAUUUGGUUGUUUUAUUGGGGUAAUAUUUGGAAAGCAGAGUUCCAGAUUUGGAGUUACUCCGGGGAUAACAGGACAAUCAUUUUAAUAAGAUGGAUUGUUACCUCGAUGUUGGAUCAUCCUUGAGUGAGUCUGUUCGACUUAGGUGGUUACGUGAUCUGAGUUUAGAUCGGCGUGAGCCAGAUCGGUUCUUAUCUUGCAUGAGGCUUUUGUGGUACGAAAGGGAACGGAGGCCGUAAUAAUUAUUGU